This 493-nucleotide long non-coding RNA is filed under the name Callithrix jacchus (white-tufted-ear marmoset). RNAcentral describes it as "lncRNA (ENSCJAG00000062763.2)". The record is from RNAcentral. Lineage: Eukaryota; Metazoa; Chordata; Mammalia; Primates; Cebidae.
GUUAAACUGCGAGUUCUGGUGGCGUCCACUGACUGGAGUGAGAAGUUAUAGACCGCCUAUGGGUAAAUCAUCACGUACUUCCGCCUUUCUGCGUCCAUAAAAACCGAGGACUCAGCCACACUCAGACACACACGUCCGGACUACCCGGAUGCGGAAAGGAGUUACCCACCCUGGGUCUCCUGAGAGCCAUUUUGUAGCUCAGUGAAGCUCCUCUCCGCCUUGCUUCACCCUCCACUUUUCUGCAUACCUCAGUCUCCCUGGAUGCGGGAAAACAACUCCGGACCCACCGAAUGGCUAAAAAAAAAGCAUAGGACUUUGGGUUAAGAAAAAGCAACGCAAAACAAAAAAAAUGAAGUUUGCCUGCAAUAGACAGCCUCAGGAGCUCAAGAAUAAAAUUCGCUGGAGAAUAUCAUGCCAUAUUCUUGCCUGUGGACCUGGACCUGGACUAUCCUCAGGGAGAUCUUUCUCAAAUUUAAAGUCCUCUGAAGAAUGA